GACGAACGCUGGCGGCGUGCCUAAUACAUGCAAGUCGAGCGAAUGGAUUAAGAGCUUGCUCUUAUGGAGUUAGCGGCGGACGGGUGAGUAACACGUGGGUAACCUGCCCAUAAGACUGGGAUAACUCCGGGAAACCGGGGCUAAUACCGGAUAACAUUUUGAACCGCAUGGUUCGAAAUUGAAAGGCGGCUUCGGCUGUCACUUAUGGAUGGGCCCGCGUCGCAUUAGCUAGUUGGUGAGGUAACGGCGCACCAAGGCAACGAUGCGUAGCCGACCUGAGAGGGUGAUCGGCCACACUGGGACUUAGACACGGCCCAGACUCCUACGGGAGGCAGCAGUAGGGAAUCUUCCGCAAUGGACGAAAGUCUGACGGAGCAACGCCGCGUGAGUGAUGAAGGCUUUCGGGUCGUAAAACUCUGUUGUUAGGGAAGAACAAGUGCUAGUUGAAUAAGCUGGCACCUUGACGGUACCUAACCAGAAAGCCACGGCUAACUACGUGCCAGCCGCCGCGGUAA
This 515-nucleotide ribosomal RNA is filed under the name uncultured bacterium. RNAcentral's name for it is "partial 16S ribosomal RNA". It matches the Rfam family "Bacterial small subunit ribosomal RNA", at positions 28 to 523 of the family's 1533-position model. The record is from RNAcentral.